RNAcentral lists this ribosomal RNA (391 nucleotides) under uncultured bacterium. Its description in RNAcentral is "bacterial SSU rRNA". It matches the Rfam family "Bacterial small subunit ribosomal RNA", at positions 28 to 421 of the family's 1533-position model. The record is from RNAcentral.
GACGAACGCUUGCGGCGUGCCUAAGAAAUGCAAGUCGAACGGACAGAUCAGCAAUGGUCUGUUAGUGGCGAACGGUCGCGUAACACGUAAGCAACCUGCCCUGAAGUGGGGGAUAACAGUCCGAAAGGAUUGCUAAUACCGCAUGUGGUCGACGAGUGGCAUCACUUGUCGUCUAAAGCCUUGUGCGCUUCAGGAUGGGCUUGCGGCCUAUCAGCUUGNGGUGGGGUAACGGGCCUACCAAGGCUUUGACGGGUAGCUGGUCUGAGAGGACGAUCAGCCGGAUUGGGACUGAGAUACGGCCCAGACUCCUACGGGGGCAGCAAUUAGGAAUCUUGCACAAUGGGGGAAACCCGUGAUGCAGCGACGUCGCGUGCGGGAUGAAGGCAUUCGU